GUAUCUAUAAACCAAUAUUAAAUGGCGGUUUUUAUUUAUUAGAGAAGCUCGCUCUAUAAUCGACAAUCCUCGAUAAUUUUAACUCCAUAUUAAAGUUUAUAUACCGCCGUUACAAAAUUAAAUUCACAUUUAAAUUUAACUUCUAUUAUUAUAACAAAAAUCAGGUCAAGGUGUAACCAAUAAUGAAGUAAAAGUAAGCUACAUUAAAUACAAUUUAAGGACCCAAAAUCAAAUAUACUAAAAGAAAGAGAAUCUAUAUAUACACACGAACUAAAAAUUCAAAUAGAAAUAUAACAUAAAAACGC
This 305-nucleotide ribosomal RNA is filed under the name Anansus ewe. RNAcentral's name for it is "partial 12S ribosomal RNA". Lineage: Eukaryota; Metazoa; Arthropoda; Arachnida; Araneae; Pholcidae. The record is from RNAcentral.